Non-coding RNA from Vicugna pacos (alpaca), 1076 nucleotides. NCBI's taxonomy places the organism in Eukaryota, Metazoa, Chordata, Mammalia, Artiodactyla, Camelidae. The record is from RefSeq and is a predicted model, not a curated record.
CUGAGCUCUCUGUGCUUUCUUACAGUUGGAGACAGACAACUACAGAUAAAGAAGAGGCGAUGGGAGACGGUCAGGUGUCCGAUUUGAAGGCAUUCUUGGUAAAGGAUAAGACUGCCCUCACAAGGAAGAGGGGGAAUACUGACCAGCUGAAGCUGGAAAACCCAAAGAAACAGAAAGUGAAGGAGCCAAACCAAAAGAAUCAGGGAAGAUGUGGGAAAGACCAGAGACGUUCCUGAGUAAGUGAACUCUGUAUUUUCCUGUGACUUGUAGCUGUGCCUGAAAGAAGAAAGUACAUUCUCUGUUUCAAAAGAUACCAGGCAAGGUUCAUUUUGUGUCCCUUCUCUGUGCAGGAGGUGAGGUGGAGAUAGUGAGGAUGGGGCUGCAGGAGCGGCAGUGACACCACCUUUUGUCCAGAGUCCGGCCUGGGUAGUAGAAUUAGAACCUGCACUCCCUGUUUUUAACCAGUCUUUGCUUUCACUCAAGCAGAGUUAAGAAUCCAGUAGAACCAUAGAGCAGUUGGUCACGUGAGCUGCUGCCUGCCACAGAAAUCAAUCUCUUGCAUGUUCUGUGAGAGCAGAGGAAGAAGGCUGAUGUCCUGAGGACCGGCCCCUGCCUUAGCUGCCUCCUUUUUCUUUUUAAUAAAAAUCAAAAGUAAUCGUAAACUAGGUAACAAUCAGUGUAACCACAUCUUGUCCAAAGACUAGAACCAAAAACAUUUUAAAAGGCAUUAGGCGUACAGUUGUCGCUGACCUCCCUUUACCUCCCCUGUCUGGUUUCUACCACGUUCUUGUGUCAGGUGAUAGUGUCAGUAGCUCCCUUUGUCCAGUGGAACAAAGGAAAAACCUCAUGGAAAAAACCAUGGUAGGUUUUGCUUUGGGAGCUUCAGUGCUGGAAACUGCACGGCUGCCUGGCAGGGCUUGUGCGCCAGUUGGUGAGGAGCGGGGUCUGAGCUCUACAGUUAAUUCAAGCGGUGUUGCUCUAAGUAGUAUUUCCAGUUUGGGGUGAAUCACUUGGCCUUGGAGAACAGAAGUAGUCUAAUUGGAUGUUUUCUCGGAGUUUGUUAGUUCCCUGUAAUC